RNAcentral lists this long non-coding RNA (596 nucleotides) under Chinchilla lanigera (long-tailed chinchilla). Its description in RNAcentral is "lncRNA (ENSCLAG00000028324.1)". The record is from RNAcentral. Lineage: Eukaryota; Metazoa; Chordata; Mammalia; Rodentia; Chinchillidae.
CAAUAAUGAGGCAAUUCUUUAAAAUUUAACAUGUUAUUGUUUGUGUCUGAAGGAGAAGAAGUUGACGUUGAUGACAUGGAACCAGUUUUAGGAAACGUGGGAACAGAGUUGACAGGAGGAAAGAUUGAUGCCAAUAAAGUGAAUACACUUUUAGAAAAUAUGGGUAUGAAACUCACUGAAGAGGAGCUUGGUGAUCUAACACAAAAUCUGAUUGUUAAUGGUGAUGGUAAGGUUGAUCUGAAAAGGGUGAUGAAUGAAAUGAAACCUUUUACGAGAGACAAAGUUGAUCCAAAUCAACUGGAAAGCAUCUUGAGAAACUUGGGAAUUAAGCUCACACCUAGUGAACACUUGGAGUUGAAGCCACUGCCAGAUAAUGCCAAUGAAGAAGUAUAUCAGAAAAGGUUGAUGAAGGGCAUAACGUCUUUCAACCGAGACAGUGUUGAUGUCGAUCAGCUGGACACUUUUUUAGAAAACAUGGGGAUCACAAUCACAGAACAAGAAUUCAUGGAUCUAACAAAUAGACUGUCAGAUGAUGGUGAGCACUAUCAUUAUUCCCAUACUUCCUACAGGGUACUUAUUUUUUUAGACUUGAAAAC